Molecule: transfer RNA, 69 nt
Filed under: Augilina tetraina
Lineage: Eukaryota; Metazoa; Arthropoda; Insecta; Hemiptera; Caliscelidae
Description: tRNA-Gln
Rfam family: tRNA
About the family: Transfer RNA (tRNA) molecules are approximately 80 nucleotides in length.
Source: RNAcentral
UACAAUAUAAUGUAAGAUGCAUAAGGAAUUUUGAAUUCUUUAGUAUUGGUUUAAUUCCAAUGUUUGUAA